AGCUUAAAGAGUGACGUCAUUUGUCAAUUUAUCAUCGCCACCAAUCUGAUCCACACAGUUGUCUUUGUCACAAUAUCAGGAUUCACAAGAAAAAAAAAAAAGUUUCUGGAUGGGAGUCUCCAGUGUCAGCACUUUGUGUCAGUCAGUAAAUUUUCAGAAAUAGGAAAUGUCUUCACGGUGGAGGUUUCUUGGUAACUUGACAAUCUGUCUUAACUUCAAGAGGGGAAAAAAGGAGAUGCUGGUAUUUCCCUUUUAUCCCCAGAGUUCCCUGGAUAGGCUCUGGAUUUACUCCGACCCUGAUCAAGAUAAAACACUUAGCAACACAUACAGCUGUAUAAUCUCAAUAGUUUCCACCUAAACUACAAUAAACAGCCAAAAGUAUGCGGACACCUGACCAUCACACAUAAAUAUGGUUCUUCCCCAGACUGUUGCCACAAAGUUGGAAGCACACAAUCGUAUAAAAAGUUUUUGAAUGCUGUAGCAUUACAAUUUCCCUUCCCUGGAACUAAGAGGCCCAAACCUGUUCCAGCAUGACAAUGUGCACAAAGCAAGCUCUGUGAAGACUGGGUUUGCCAAGUUUGCCCUGACCUCAACCCUACUGAACACCUUUGGGAUGAAUUGGAAUGCAGACUGCUCACCAGACAUCACCUCCACACCCAACAUCAGUGCCUGACCUCACUAAUGCUAUUAUGGCUGAAUGAACACAAAGACACCGGAGAUGCCUUACAUAAAUGCUAAUAAAUAAAUAAAUAAAUAAAUAAAUACACACAGCAUCAACAACCUUAAUUUGUUUGAUUUAUUUUUAGUUUCUUUGCUAAUAGGUGUUACAAAUGUGUAUCAGUUUUAGGGUAGCAGUAGAAGGGCUAUUGAGAACAAUGGACCUGUAGUACAUUUUACUUUUGCAGUGACAAAUAUAAUGUAAUGUUUCCGUUCACUUUUAAAGUUUUCAUUUGACUCACCCUUGUAUGUUCUUUUUUUUUUUGUUAAAUAACAGCAAAUUGUCCUUUUAACUGUAGAUGUCCCUGUGAAUUUGCUAUUAGUGUAGUAAACAUGACAUCAAAUGAGCACAUUAAUACAAUAUGAUUUGUCUUGCAGAUUGCCAGCUGCCGACUGAGCUGCUGUUAUAUAAGUAAUAACACACGACAGAUCUUGCAGUUAGGCAAAGAUUACAAUGUGUAAUUUCUUAAUGCACAAUAUGUCAUGCAUUUUAAUGGUAUAUAGUUAUAUUUAAGGUUGUAGAACAUCCGAGAGACAACUGCGAUAAACAGUCAUUCCCUCACCAGUCUGUCUGUCUGUCUGUCUCUGUGUGUGUGUGGGUGGAUAUGUGUCACACAAUUGAUCAUACCUCAACAGCGAUUUAGUUGCAGUUUAUGCUCAUUUGACAAAUCUUAAAUAAAUCAUAGUAGAUGCAUAUAUAUAUAUAUAUAUAUAUAUAUAUAUAUAUAUAUAUAUA
Ictalurus punctatus (channel catfish) is the source of this 1453-nucleotide long non-coding RNA. Lineage: Eukaryota; Metazoa; Chordata; Actinopteri; Siluriformes; Ictaluridae. The record is from Ensembl.